AACGAACGCUGGCGGCAGGCUUAACACAUGCAAGUCGAACGCACCUUCGGGUGAGUGGCGCACGGGUGAGUAACGCGUGGGAAUGUACCCUUUAGUACGGAAUAGCCUCGGGAAACUGGGAUUAAUACCGUAUACGCCCUUCGGGGGAAAGAUUUAUCGCUAAAGGAUCAGCCCGCGUGAGAUUAGAUUGUUGGUGGGGUAACGGCCUACCAAGUCGACGAUAUCUAGCUGGUCUGAGAGGAUGAUCAGCCAAACUGGUACUGAGACACUGACCGGACUCCUACGGGAGGCAGCAGUGGGGAAUAUUGGUCAAUGGGGGCAACCCUGAACCAGCCAUGCCGCGUGAGUGAUGAAGGCCUUAGGGUUGUAAAGCUCUUUUAUGAGGGAAGAUGAAGACGGUACCUCAAGAAUAAGCCCCGGCUAACUUCGUGCCAGCCGCCGCCGUAA
Molecule: ribosomal RNA, 447 nt
Filed under: uncultured bacterium
Lineage: Bacteria
Description: partial 16S ribosomal RNA
Rfam family: Bacterial small subunit ribosomal RNA
Source: RNAcentral